Molecule: ribosomal RNA, 492 nt
Filed under: uncultured bacterium
Lineage: Bacteria
Description: partial 16S ribosomal RNA
Rfam family: Bacterial small subunit ribosomal RNA
Source: RNAcentral
AGUGAACGCUGGCGGUAGGCCUAACACAUGCAAGUCGAACGGUAGCACAGUAAGAGCUUGCUCUUACGGGUGGCGAGUGGCGGACGGGUGAGGAAUACAUCGGAAUCUACUUUUUCGUGGGGGAUAACGUAGGGAAACUUACGCUAAUACCGCAUACGACCUACGGGUGAAAGCAGGGGAUCUUCGGACCUUGCGCGAUUGAAUGAGCCGAUGUCGGAUUAGCUAGUUGGCGGGGUAAAGGCCCACCAAGGCGACGAUCCGUAGCUGGUCUGAGAGGAUGAUCAGCCACACUGGAACUGAGACACGGUCCAGACUCCGACGGGAGGCAGCAGUGGGGAAUAUUGGACGAUGGGCGCAAGCCUGAUCCAGCCAUACCGCGUGGGUGAAGAAGGCCUUCGGGUUGUAAAGCCCUUUUGUUGGGAAAGAAAAGCAGCAGGUUAAUACCCCGCUGUUCUGACGGUACCCAAAGAAUAAGCACCGGCUAACUUCGUG